GACGAACGCUGGCGGCGUGCUUAGCACAUGCAAGUCGAACGGAAAGGCCCUGCUUUUGUGGGGUGCUCGAGUGGCGAACGGGUGAGUAACACGUGAGUAACCUGCCCUUGACUUUGGGAUAACUUCAGGAAACUGGGGCUAAUACCGGAUAGGAGCUCCUGCUGCAUGGUGGGGGUUGGAAAGUUUCGGCGGUUGGGGAUGGACUCGCGGCUUAUCAGCUUGUUGGUGGGGUAGUGGCUUACCAAGGCUUUGACGGGUAGCCGGCCUGAGAGGGUGACCGGCCACAUUAGGACUGAGAUACGGCCCAGACUCCUACGGGAGGCAGCAGUGGGGAAUAUUGCACAAUGGGCGGAAGCCUGAUGCAGCAACGCCGCGUGCGGGAUGACGGCCUUCGGGUUGUAAACCGCUUUCGCCUGUGACGAAGCGUGAGUGACGGUAAUGGGUAAAGAAGCACCGGCUAACUACGUG
This 468-nucleotide ribosomal RNA is filed under the name uncultured bacterium. Its description in RNAcentral is "partial 16S ribosomal RNA". It matches the Rfam family "Bacterial small subunit ribosomal RNA", at positions 28 to 507 of the family's 1533-position model. The record is from RNAcentral.